RNAcentral lists this long non-coding RNA (262 nucleotides) under Lathyrus oleraceus (garden pea). RNAcentral's name for it is "Pisum sativum (pea) long non-coding RNA (PSAT_LNC003079)". Lineage: Eukaryota; Viridiplantae; Streptophyta; Magnoliopsida; Fabales; Fabaceae. The record is from RNAcentral.
UUUUGAAUAUUUUUUUCCACUGAUUUUACGCAUAAUUGAGAUUCAGUUUGACCGAUCUGUCUGUAAAUUCGAGAAAUUAUUUUGACUGACAAUUUGGAUAUUAUGCAUGUUAUGAUAUGCAUAUGAUGUUAAUGAUUCUAUGAAUGCAUUGAUUCAGUGAUUCAGGGUCAAAAUUGGGGUAUGACAGUUGCCCCUAUUUAAAUAGCUUUACCAAAUGGUAUGAUCGAUGACAAUCCUCAUAGUAUCUUGGUGGAAGAUAUUU